UGUUUGUUUCAUGAAUUUUUCAAACUUGGUUGUUAGAUAUAUAUAUAUAUAUAUAUAUAUAUAUAUAUAUAUAUAUAUAUCUAACAACCAAGUUUGAAAAAUUCAUGAAACAAACA
This 116-nucleotide microRNA precursor is filed under the name Marmota monax (woodchuck). The record is from RNAcentral. Lineage: Eukaryota; Metazoa; Chordata; Mammalia; Rodentia; Sciuridae.